Molecule: ribosomal RNA, 497 nt
Filed under: uncultured bacterium
Lineage: Bacteria
Description: partial 16S ribosomal RNA
Rfam family: Bacterial small subunit ribosomal RNA
Source: RNAcentral
GAUGAACGCUGGCGGCGUGCCUAAUACAUGCAAGUCGAGCGAACAGACGAGGAGCUUGCUCCUUUGACGUUAGCGGCGGACGGGUGAGUAACACGUAGGUAACCUACCUAUAAGACUGGGAUAAUUUCGGGAAACCGGAGCUAAUACCGGAUAAUAUUUCGAACCGCAUGGUUCGAUAGUGAAAGAUGGCUUUGCUAUCACUAAUAGAUGGACCUGCGCCGUAUUAGCUAGUUGGUAAGGUAACGGCUUACCAAGGCAACGAUACGUAGCCGACCUGAGAGGGUGAUCGGCCACACUGGAACUGAGACACGGUCCAGACUCCUACGGGAGGCAGCAGUAGGGAAUCUUCCGCAAUGGGCGAAAGCCUGACGGAGCAACGCCGCGUGAGUGAUGAAGGUCUUCGGAUCGUAAAACUCUGUUAUUAGGGAAGAACAAACGUGUAAGUAACUGUGCACGUCUUGACGGUACCUAAUCAGAAAGCCACGGCUAACUACGUG